UUAGAUCCGCUGUGACAUCUGUGACAGGUGGUUUCACCACGAGUGUGUCCUGAGGCCAGAUCUUGAUGGGGAUUACCUGUGCCUUGCAUGUGUAAUCAAUGCCUACCUCACCUUUCUUGUGAGGAAAUAUAAUAAAAUAAGUCCAGAAAAGGCUGGUGUCAUCGACAGUUUUUGCAUGACGGCAAUUUGGCAAGGGAAACAACAAAGACUCCGAAAACUCGAUCCAAUGGCAUUCUCCAUCCUUUUGGGAAUAAUUAAUGAACAAAACCACUGGAUGUUGACGGUCAUCUACCCACACGAGAAGAGAUGCUUUUUUUGGAUCCAUUGGGGGAAUCACAAAGGAACAUCAAGAGAUGCCUGGGGUCAACAAGGGCCUUUAUGCGAACGAAAGGCUGCAACGUGACAAGGUGGGCAUGCAGCACCCUGGCCCAUGCACGCCAGCAAGAUGGCACAUCAUGUGGUGUCCUGGCCUUAAAAGUAAGUGUACUGUACACUACUGAAACAAUGUGGACAACCUCAAGGUCAUUACCUUUUUUCAUAAGAGAAAUCCAUGACUUGGUUUCUUACAUGUUUGUGAUAUGUACCAUUAAGUAGCCCAAAAAUUAUAUAUAUAAACUUGAGGUGCACCACCAAAAAUGGAGU
Molecule: long non-coding RNA, 642 nt
Organism: Nerophis ophidion (straightnose pipefish)
Lineage: Eukaryota; Metazoa; Chordata; Actinopteri; Syngnathiformes; Syngnathidae
Exons: 5
Source: RefSeq, a predicted model, not a curated record